Molecule: long non-coding RNA, 1768 nt
Filed under: Nannospalax galili (Upper Galilee mountains blind mole rat)
Lineage: Eukaryota; Metazoa; Chordata; Mammalia; Rodentia; Spalacidae
Description: lncRNA (ENSNGAG00000024634.1)
Source: RNAcentral
AAAUCCCUCCUUAAGAAAGGAAUACCUGAGGGGGACCCUGUAUUAAGAAAAGAAAAAGAAGAGAACAUCUGGAAUUCAAGGGCAGACAGAGCUAGGCAGCAGCCAUCAGCAGGGCCAGGAUACUGAGCAGUGUUGUCACCUGAAGAUUCCAGGAAUGAAGCUGUCUCCAUUCUGCGUUGUUCAAAUUGUGCAUCUUCUGGAAAGAUGGUGUGUCAUCUGGAGCUUGAAUAAGGCCUGUGUGAAGACAUUGAGGGGUAGAGAAACACAGGUUGCAUGCCUGCAAAGUGAAAAGUCCCUUGUCUAAUAAAAUAGAAGCUUAACUGAGUGUUAUUAAUACGUAACAUAUUAAUGUGAAUGUUGUUCAUUUGGGAAGAAUACAGGAGUCUAAGAUGGAAAUUGUGCAAUAAUUCUGAAUAUUGAUAAAGCUAUCCAAAACAUUGCUAGAGAUCUCAUUUACUUCUGAUAGUGAAUUAGCUAGAGAGCAAUGCCUGGCCUGAAGGCCAUCUUGGGAUAAAUCUCUAAGAGGAGUCAGAAGGUCUAGAAGAGGGUAAUUGGCAGCCAAACCCUUAGGAAGACUGAGGGACUGAACUAUGGGAAAUUGAUGCCCCUACUACACGAUCUCUACCUCAGACAGCAGAACCCCAGCCAACAGCAAAGCAUACAGUAAUUCCAGCCUGUACCCCACCAGGUAACUGUGUUCUUUUUCCUGAACCUUUGGGUAGAGAUGUUGACAAAGUUGGUGUGGUUGUGGGCACGUGCUCUGGAAAAAGACCACUGACAUUGUCAGCAGCAGUAGAGAUGGGGGCGCAGCGCCGCUGGAUCCCCCACCACCAUCACGUUCCCCUCAAUUGCUUCCAUUCAGGCAGGACUGGAUUCGUUGCUUCUUCAAAGAAAACAGUUUCUGAGAGAGCCUAGAUGAAGCAUCGCUGGAAUUUUGUUAGGACAUUUUCGACAUAGACGUUAAAUAUAGGAUGUGUUAGUCCCUCGGGGAAAGGACAGGACAUAUCUCAGUGUGAGUACGGGUUUGUCCGGGGGAUUUGCAAUUAGCUUUCAUCACCGUGGCUAUAUAUGUGAUUUUGGUGGUUGUCAAAGAAUGGCUCCACUUUUAAAAAUAUUGCUCAGAGAUGUAGUUUACAGCAAGGUUACAAGUUAAAGAAUGUUCUUCUCUAAACACAGUUUUAAGGUUUAUUUAUGGCAGGUUUUUGUUUAGAUUCAGAAAUUGGAGAGGAAUUCUGAGAACUGAAGGAUAUGAAUCACUUGGCCCUACGUCUGCACAGUUUGAUUGUUACCUCAGCCCUCUCUGAGGUGCCUGUAGAAGAACAUGGACUGCCUUAAUAUGUAAUUUUGGUCUUAUCAGUGAUGUCUGCAGUCUCCUGAUCUGUUAGCAGGCAGGCGAGCCAGACCCCUGGGAGCAUGUGACAUGUGCUGUUUCCAAGUUUCAUGCCUCCCUUCCAAGGCUCCAUGACUAUUACUAUCUUUCUGUCUUGCUUCAAUUUCUACCACUAUUGACACGUGACUGACUUCUACAAAUACCUACUUUUUAAAAAUCUGCUUCAUUAUUUAUAAAAUGGAUGUAAAACCAUUGAUUUGAUAGAAUGCUUAUGAAUAUCAAAUGAGACGAAGAAGGGUUUGUGCCACAGUUACAAAGGGUGUAAGUGAUCAAGUGAUGUGUUAAACACCUACUUCUAUUCUAGAGCCUGGACUCCGGGGACUGGCACAGGUGGUGCCUAUGGAUUGGGAACAUCUCCAUUCAUUUAGUCUUUUGAUA